GUUCCCAUGGGUUCCAAAAGCGCAGAUCAUAUCAGGAAGAAGAAGAAAAACAAACCAAAGAAAGAUUCAGAUGCUAAAAACGGCGACAAAAUCCACCAUGGAGGGGGCGGCGGAAGGAAGAUCAUUGCAGACCCUCGGUUUGCAUCGGUACACUCAGACCCUCGGUUUCAGAAAGUUCCAACGCAAAAGUCCAAGGUCGCAAUCGACUCUCGCUUCAACCGCAUCUUCACCGACAAAAAUUUUGCCUCGUCUUCUGCACUUUUGGACAAGCGGGGUAAGCCUAAGAAGCACAAGUCGGAAAGUUCUCUGCGCCAUUACUAUCGAAUCGAAGAAGAAGAAGAAAAAGAUAACGAUGAUGAAAGGGAAGAGACGGAGAAGGAAACGAAGAUAGUGAGUGAUGAAGAUGACGGUGGAGAGGAAGUUGGAGAAGAAAGUGAGAAAGAGGAAUUAGAGAAAUUGGAUCUCGUGGCAGAAGAAAGCGAUUCGAUUAGUCAAACGGAGGGGUCGGAGUCGGAGGGUGAGGCUGAGUCGACUACUGACGAGGAGGAUGAGGAGAUGUUGUAUGAGGAUGAUUUGCCUGAAGUGGAGGUGGAAAAUAUACCAUCAAUUGAAGAUGGAACCCGCAGACUUGCCGUUGUUAACAUGGACUGGAGACAUGUUAGGGCUGUUGACUUGUACGUAAUACUGUGCUCAUUUCUUCCAAAAGGAGGAGAAAUUUUGUCUGUGUCUGUCUAUCCAUCUGAAUUUGGUCUACAGCGUAUGAAAGAGGAAGAACUUCAUGGCCCUGUUGGCUUAUUUGAUGAUGAGAACAAGGAUGGUGAUGGUGGUGAUGAUGAUGAUGAGAUUGACGAAGAGAAGUUGCGUGCUUAUGAGAGAAGUAGGCUGAGGUACUACUAUGGUGUAGUGGAAUGUGAUUCUGUAUCAACAGCGGAACAACUAUACAAAGCUUGUGAUGGACUUGAGUUUGAACGAUCUUCUAAUGUUCUUGAUCUUAGAUUUGUUCCUGACUCUAUGGAAUUUAAACAUCCACCUCGUGAUGUUGCAACAGAGGCACCAGCUAGCUAUGAGGGAUUGGAUUUCCAUACCAAAGCACUGCAGCACAGUAGUGUUCCUAUUUCUUGGGAUGAAGAUGAACCACAGCGCGUUAAGACCUUGAAACGAAAAUUUAAUGCUGAUCAGCUGGCUGAAUUGGAGUUGAAGGAGUUUUUAGCUUCUGAUGAGAGUGAAAGCGAUGAGGAUGAAAAUGAUGCUGCCAUUGCAGAGGGUGAAUCAGAUAAAAAGCAUAAAAAACUGGAUAAGUAUCGCGCUUUAAUCCAGUCUGGUGAUGGUUCAGAUGUAGAGAAUGAGGAUGAAGGCCAGGAUAUGGAGAUUACUUUUAACACUGGCUUGGAGGAUAUCAGUAAGCACAUUCUGAAAAAAAGGGAUGAGAAAUCAGAAAGUGUUUGGGAAGCACAUCUCAGGGAAAAACGUGAGAAGAAGAAGGCCCGAAAGAAGAGAUCUAAGUAUUCAUCAGAGGACGAGAGUAGUGAUGCUGAUGAAGAAAUAGAAGAACCUGAUGAUUUCUUUGUUGAAGAACCAGCUGUUAAAAAAGGAAAGAAGGAUGCUCGAGCUAAGAGUGACAAAGAAGGAAAGCAACUCCAGUAUACAGAUAAGGAAGCAGAAGCAAGCAGAGCAGAGCUUGAGUUGUUACUUGCUGAUGAUAGUGGGGCUAAUAAUGGUGUAAAGGGCUAUAAUUUGAAACAUAAAACAGCAAAGGGUAAAAGAGAAAAAGAAGUUCCAGAUGAGAACAAACUACCAACUGUUGACUAUGAUGAUCCACGGUUUUCAGCUCUCUUUAAUUCACAUCUAUUCUCAUUGGAUCCUACAGAUCCACAGUUCAAAAGGAGUGCAGCUUACGCUAGGCAGAUGGCACGGAGGCAGCAAAAGGGUGAUCAGCUAGAAUUGGGAGAAGGAGAGCAUAAGAAACAGCCAACAAAAUCUCAGUUGCUAUCUGAUGAGCCAGUUGCAAACAAAAAUGAGCAGAGAAGUGCUGAUGUUUUACCAAUCAAAGAAAGAGAAGCACGAGAUAUCAUCAUUGGUAAAAUCCCUUAAGAUGAAGUCCAAGCAACUUCAGUUGCCCUCUAAUGGCAAUACAAGGAAGGAUGAAAAAUUACAACCUAGAGGUGCAAAAGAAAUGGAGAAGCCUGAGCUUGCAACCUUGGUUCAGUCGGUAAAGAAGAAGGCCAAAGCUGUGCAAAAAUGAAAAAUCCAUCUGUUUCCUCUCAUCUAAUUUUGCAUUAGGGAGCUGUGGAGGCAGAGGCUUUGGUAAAACAAUCCAGCUCCAUUCGGGGAUUUUACUGUAACAAAUUGAGUUGGUAAGGCUGUUAGUUUUCAGUGGGGGUUUGAGUUGAUAUUUGGUUGGUAGAGUUUAAUGGUUGGAGUUUUCUGACUUAGCAUUUUAGUUAGAAUUCGACUCAUUAAAAUCUUCUUUGUCGUGUAUUUGGAAUGAAAAAGCCAUUGACAUACACAAUGUCCAAACAGAAUUAUGGGAAGAAAUUUACUGAAAACUCGCCCCG
RNAcentral lists this unclassified non-coding RNA (2555 nucleotides) under Hevea brasiliensis (rubber tree). Lineage: Eukaryota; Viridiplantae; Streptophyta; Magnoliopsida; Malpighiales; Euphorbiaceae. The record is from RNAcentral.